UGAACGCUGGCGGCAGGCCUAACACAUGCAAGUCGAGCGGAUGAAGGGAGCUUGCUCCUGGAUUCAGCGGCGGACGGGUGAGUAAUGCCUAGGAAUCUGCCUGGUAGUGGGGGAUAACGUCCGGAAACGGGCGCUAAUACCGCAUACGUCCUGGGGAGAAAGUGGGGGAUCUUCGGACCUCACGCUAUCAGAUGAGCCUAGGUCGGAUUAGCUAGUUGGUGGGGUAAAGGCCUACCAAGGCGACGAUCCGUAACUGGUCUGAGAGGAUGAUCAGUCACACUGGAACUGAGACACGGUCCAGACACCUACGGGAGGCAGCAGUGGGGAAUAUUGGACAAUGGGCGAAAGCCUGAUCCAGCCAUGCCGCGUGUGUGAAGAAGGUCUUCGGAUUGUAAAGCACUUUAAGUUGGGAGGAAGGGCAGUAAGUUAAUACCUUGCUGUUUUGACGUUACCAACAGAAUAAGCACCGGCUAACUUCGUG
This 481-nucleotide ribosomal RNA is filed under the name uncultured bacterium. RNAcentral's name for it is "partial 16S ribosomal RNA". It matches the Rfam family "Bacterial small subunit ribosomal RNA", at positions 30 to 507 of the family's 1533-position model. The record is from RNAcentral.